This 360-nucleotide long non-coding RNA is filed under the name Oryza brachyantha (malo sina). RNAcentral describes it as "long non-coding RNA (OBRA_LNC001605)". Lineage: Eukaryota; Viridiplantae; Streptophyta; Magnoliopsida; Poales; Poaceae. The record is from RNAcentral.
UAAAUAUAUGGUUUUCCAUCUUAGUUUAUUUUUUAGUCUUGGUUUUUAGACCAUGAAGAACACAUAUAUAAAAUUUUAUCCACAAAUGAUUUUUUAUCUGUAAAUAUACCAUUUGGCUUUUCCGUAAAAUACCGUCAAAAACAAAUGUCCCAUAUUGUUUAAUGGUAACUAUGAUAUCAGUAUGAGAGAGAUCAUGAGACAUGAUGGAAUAAAUUAUGGCGGCACUCCAACAUUUUGCUUAGAUAAUGGAUAUCAAUCUGGCUUCUGCAUCCAGAUGCAUCCUUCAUUUGGUUUUGAAAACUUAGGGUUGGUCAUCACUUUCAUGUUUGCAUCUUUUCCUAAUGCAUCCUAAUCCUAGUC